RNAcentral lists this ribosomal RNA (301 nucleotides) under uncultured bacterium. Its description in RNAcentral is "partial 16S ribosomal RNA". It matches the Rfam family "Bacterial small subunit ribosomal RNA", at positions 509 to 809 of the family's 1533-position model. The record is from RNAcentral.
CAGUCGCCGCGGGAAAACGUAGGUGGCAAGCGUUGUUCGGAUUUACUGGGCGUAAAGGGCGCGUAGGCGGACUGAUAAGUCAGGGGUGAAAUCCCAAGGCUCAACCUUGGAACUGCCUUUGAUACUGUUUGUCUUGAGUUCGAGAGAGGUAAGUGGAACUGCGAGUGUAGAGGUGAAAUUCGUAGAUAUUCGCAAGAACACCAGUGGCGAAGGCGGCUUACUGGCUCGAAACUGACGCUGAGGCGCGAAAGCGUGGGGAGCAAACAGGAUUAGAUACCCGAGUAGUCCCUGUCUCUUAUAA